AGAGAGUAGAAUUUCAGUAAAUGCUAUCUAGAAGAUGAUCUUGCCCCAGAUGUGAACCACCAAACUGUGCCUGCUGCCUUCAUGACUUCUCACUGGGGCCAUGAUUUCCAUAUGCCAGGCACCAGCUGUGCCAGCAGCUCUGAGAUUUGAGGCAGGACAGAGAGAAAUUGCUAUUUUACCCUCAUUUUGGCCCAAACAAACUGCUGCUGUUGGGUUUCUGAGGCCCUAGAGUUUGCCUGCUUAGAGUUUAUUCUCUUCAAGUGUCUCCCAGCAGCCACCAAGAGAUAGAAAAUGAGCCCUUUGUAGGAGUUAUGGAGAUUUCCUUGGUAAGAAAUCUGAGUGUGCCAUGCAGUGACAACUCUCCAGUAGAUCGGAAUCAAAAAGGAAAACUACAACUGAUUUUUUUUUCAAGACAACUGGGAUUUUUUCAAUAUAGAAGGCCGAUUAAUAACAUGGCAGUGCCUCGACUAGUUACACCCUGAUUCUCAAAGCAGGUGACUCCCAAACUAGGCUCUCAUGCUUGGCCUCAGCCACAAAUCCCGUGUGCUGUCAUCAGACUUUCUUCCCUUGGCCAGGCUUUAAAUUGUCUGGGCUCAGAGUGAGAGCCAUGGAUCGGUCACCUCAUCCACCAGCGCUUUGCAUGGAGAACGAAGAGGUAAGUGUUUCCCAGUGCUAAUUAGAUAACACCCACGUAUCUUCACCAAUUAAUUCUAACCAGGACAUGGAUAGGCUCUUUGGAAGGUUUGAUGUCCACCAAACUUGAUCUGACUUCUCUGAUCUUAAAACCCUUCUUAACACGGUGUAAACCCCAUGCUUUCAGCCACAGUUUCCAAAAUGCAGUGGAUCUGGCUUGGGUUUUGGGUUUUGAGAAGACACGGUCCUAUUUACAGAGUGGGACCAUCAUGGUUGUGGUUUCCCCUGCCCAGCCAGCAGGAAGCAGGCACUCCCCUGCCUCAUCUGGGUGCACGUAGCAGGAGGAUAAAAAGCAAUCGCAACCGCUUGUGUUUUCUAGGAAUGCUGUCUAUCCUGGGAAAGAGCAUGUCCUAGUGCCAAAAAACCAUUGUCAUGCCAAAAUGAAAAACGAACACUGGAGGAGCAGAAAUGAGACAAGUUUCUGCAAAGUCUCACCAAACACUUCCCCCAUUGUGUGAUGUGCCUGAAACCCUCCACCCAUGUCAGAGCUGUGGUGUUUGCAACUUGGUGUAGUUCAGCUCCAUGUGCAACCUGAUGGGUCUGAGUUUAGAACCAAGGAAGCAGGCCUGUGAAGAAGCAGCAAAAAGUGCCAUAUACAAAACACCAGGUUGGCCGAGCCCUGCCUCCUUGUGAGGCACGGUACAUUUCCACAGCCUAGAUGGCCCUAACAGGCAGGGCUGACAUGGGCAGAUAUGACAACAGAAAACUGGAGAGGGUAAAGUCCAACAGAAAACUGGGAGCUGCACAUACAUAGAAAUACAACAAUCAGAACCGGAUGCCUAACAGUGUGCCAUAAAAUGAACAGGAAUUUGGGUGCAGGCUGUCAUGCUGCGAUACAAUUGGUGAUAGUGCUGCCGAAAGAGGGCUGAGUUUGCUCUGAGCUUUGUUUUGCAUGAGUGCAUCCUCCCUCCUGUGAGGGCUGCAGAGCCCUUCCCAAAGUCCAGGAAGCACCAGGGUCUGGGAGGAAAUGGCAGCACAACUUCUGCAUGAAGAAUGUCAAGAUGUAGACAGGUCUCAGGUUGGAUGUUAGGAAACAUUUCUUCUCAGAAAGAGCAGUGAGGCACGGGCACAGCUGCUCAGGGAGGUGGGGCAGUCACCGUCCCUGGAGGUGUUCCAGAGCCAGGGAGAUGUGGCACUGAGGGACAUGGUCAGUGGGCACGGGAGGGUGGGCUGGGGUUGGACUUGGGGAUCCUAGAGGUCUUUUCCAACCUUAAUGAUUCUAUGAUUUCAUCAGUAUUUUUUUACUUUUUAUUCCCGGGGGAGAGAAACCCCUUUCCUUUGAGUGCUCUAUGGGUAGAGUUGACACUCAGGGAGAAACACAGUGGGACCAGUGGGCCACACACGGGACUUGGCAGGAAACUGCAAUUCUCCAGCCAAGUGAUUCCUAAUACCAAGCACGUCGGGGCAACAGACACCACUCACGAUGCUGGCUGAAAUAUCUUUUGAUCUCUUCAAGCAAGACAGGUCCCACUUGUCUGAGCGCUGUUUCGCUGUGUUUGCUGAAGGUGAGCAGGGAGAGUUCUGAGCAUUACGGAGCACAGUGCAGCAGUCGGAGCGGUAAGCAGGGCUAUUUCGCAACCAUCAGCUCUAUCAAUGGGUGCAUACUGGGCACCACGCACAGAAUGGCAGCGACAGGGUACAGUCAGAGCACCCCGUUACCACAUGCCUAUCCUCCUCUUUGCCUUGUUAAUACAUUCUUUGAAUGUUGCAUGGGAGCUGGGGGAGCACGCUGGGCAUGCAGCCAACCUGGUGUCCCCCAGUGAGAUACUCUAGAGCUCCCGCUAAGACACACUGAGCCAAAGCACAGCACUCGGGCAUGCAGAGCACGCUUUGAGGUGGGACACCUUCUGUUUAUUUGGAUUAAGCUGAAAAUAACACACCUCUAUGGAUCCGUGUUGACACAAUGAGGUUCUUUCAAAUUAAGAGGCUUGGAAUCCAAGAAGACACACACGGCAAAAUUAAUCUCUACCUGGAGCAGCCUGUAACUAACUAUAGGUUAUUAACCACUCACGCGGAUUAUCUGAGCCAUCUGAAGCAGACCUCCCCGCAAACCACUCAUGCAAAUUCAGCACCCGCAGCAUUGUCUUCCCUCUCCCCUUACCUUGAAGCACGCCCAUGGGUUUUCAUGCUGCCCUGCUGCCACGAGCUGGAAAGGAUCUCUUCUGCAAAUCAGCUCCCAAACUCCUUUUGUUUACGGCCUCCCACAGCUCUGAGUGUUGAGUUAUAUUGGAUGAUCCAACUACCGAGUGACUUCUGGUGUUACUAAUGACCACCGUGACCAGCAUUGAACAUGAAUUUGAGAGUCCACCGAGACUGCCUCAGGAGAGCAGGAGCUGCCCUGCAGGCAGGGGCCAUCUCCCCAUGUUGGGGAGCCCUGCAGGGCUGGGAGCAGGGCUGCCUCCACCACUUCUGCACAUGGCACGGAGCAGCUCCGGAGAAACUCAGGCAAGAACAGGCCUGAGAUGCCUCACACGGCUGCAAUUAUUCUAUAUUUGCUGCAUUCCUGCUGCCUGCCCUAGCAUCAGCUCCUUGCAUGAAGGGAUGUCCGCAGGAGCGCAAAGCAGGGGGGGUAAGAAGCAGCAGCAGGAGCAGGGCAGAGUCCGCAUCUCUGUGCGUCAGUGCCCGAUCCUAUUCCCCAACUUCCUCCAUACACACACCUACUGCUGUGACCUUCAGGCCCCACAGAAGCAGUAGGGGAAUUGCUGCUCAUGGGACGUAGAUGACAUUAUGUGCAAUUUGGACAAUAAAAUGCUGACGUACAUCCCCCCGUCUGGACUAAGGCAGUAAGCCGUUGGUUUGGGGCUUUUAUGGCUAAGUCACUCCUAUGCAGCUCACAACAUGAUCUCUUUCCCUCUUCACCCAUGGUACCACCUCUCCCACCAUUACCAGCAGCAGGUGCUCAGCCCUCUCAUCUUCCUCAUCUAAGCAGUUAAAUCUGCAGAGUGCCAAAAUAUACCGCAUUCCUUUUUAAAUUACAGCCUCUCCGGACCAGCCUCAAGCCUGGUGCUUAUCAAGAUUCAGAGAUUAGCGAGGCAUAGGGUUUCCUUCCUUGAGCCAACAGGCUGCUCUGUGUAGGGUUAUUCUCGGCACGGAGCAAGCUGCUGGCAACAGGGCACUAAUUCAUUGCCUUCUUUCUCCUGUUACGUUCAGCACAUCAGCUGUGUGGUGUCCCGUUCAGAAGCUGGCAGAGCCCACCAACCACAGAAAACCAUUUUUUUCCACUUUUACAACUGAUUCACUGCUCUCUCCUGGGCUGUUGUACAAGAGCCGUCUCACCCACUCAGGUUCGGCUAUGCAGAAAAUGUGUUGCCAAGGGGAAAUACCCAGCUUAGCUGGGGCUGGGUUGCUUUAAGAGCAGAGAACUGAAGGGCAGCCAGGCGGCACAGCGUUAGCUGGGGCAGGACCAUGCAGGAGCUGCUCCAUCCUCUGCUUCCAGCUCUGGCUGGGAUAGGAGAGAGCCAUACACUUCCAUGCUGUGCUGGGAGACCCCUACAGCACAGGCACUCCUUGUCCUUCCACUCCUUGUCCUUCCACUGUUUCACUCUGUCCUAGAAAAGUCUGGGACAAGAAAAUCCUACAAUGAUCCUAUAUUAAAAAUAUCCAUGCACAGA
Numida meleagris (helmeted guineafowl) is the source of this 4304-nucleotide long non-coding RNA. RefSeq lists it as uncharacterized. The record is from RefSeq and is a predicted model, not a curated record. Lineage: Eukaryota; Metazoa; Chordata; Aves; Galliformes; Numididae. The transcript is spliced from 2 exons.